Molecule: non-coding RNA, 598 nt
Filed under: Tuber melanosporum Mel28
Lineage: Eukaryota; Fungi; Ascomycota; Pezizomycetes; Pezizales; Tuberaceae
Description: Eukaryotic small subunit ribosomal RNA
Rfam family: Eukaryotic small subunit ribosomal RNA
Source: Rfam by way of RNAcentral
CUGGUUGAGCCUGCUAGUAGUCAUAUGCUUUUUUCAAAGAUUAAGCCAUGCAGGUCUAAGUAUUAGCAAACUAUACAGUGAAACUAUGAAUGACUCAUUUAAUCAAUUAUCGUUUAUUUGAUACUACCUUUGCUACUUGGAUAACUGUGGUAAUUGUUAAGCUAAUACAUGCUAAAAAUCCUGACCCCUGGAAAUGAUGUAAUUAUUAGAUAAAAAGCCCACAGCUUCUGUCUCCAUGGUGAUUCAUGAUAACUCAACAAAUUGCAUGGCCUUGUGCUGGUGAUGGUUCAUUCCAAUUUCUGCCCUAUCAACCUUCGAGGGUAGGAUAGUGGCCUACCAUGGUUUCAACUGGUGAUGGGAAAUUACGGUUUUAUUCCAAAGAGGAAGUCUAAGAAACAGCUACCAGAUCCAAGGAAGUAAGCAGGCGUGCACAUUACCCAAUCCCGACCCACAGAGGUAGUCACAGUAUAUACUAAUACAGGGUUCCUUUGGGUCUUGUAAUUGGAAUAAGUUCAAUUUAAAUCCCUUAAUGAGGAACAAUUGGAGGGCAAGUCUCGUGCCAGUAGCGAUGUUAAUUCCAGCUCCAAUAUCGUAUAUU